Molecule: transfer RNA, 59 nt
Filed under: Alectorobius mimon
Lineage: Eukaryota; Metazoa; Arthropoda; Arachnida; Ixodida; Argasidae
Description: tRNA-His
Source: RNAcentral
AUCUAAUUAGUUUAUUUAAAAUGUUAAAUUGUGGAUUUAAAGAAGUUUAUCAUUAGAUA